This 492-nucleotide ribosomal RNA is filed under the name uncultured bacterium. Its description in RNAcentral is "partial 16S ribosomal RNA". It matches the Rfam family "Bacterial small subunit ribosomal RNA", at positions 29 to 507 of the family's 1533-position model. The record is from RNAcentral.
AGUGAACGCUGGCGGUAGGCCUAACACAUGCAAGUCGAACGGCAGCACAGUAAGAGCUUGCUCUUACGGGUGGCGAGUGGCGGACGGGUGAGGAAUACAUCGGAAUCUACUUUUUCGUGGGGGAUAACGUAGGGAAACUUACGCUAAUACCGCAUACGACCUACGGGUGAAAGCAGGGGAUCUUCGGACCUUGCGCGAUUGAAUGAGCCGAUGUCGGAUUAGCUAGUUGGCGGGGUAAAGGCCCACCAAGGCGACGAUCCGUAGCUGGUCUGAGAGGAUGAUCAGACACACUGGAACUGAGACACGGUCCAGACUCCUACGGGAAGCAGCAGUGGGGAAUAUUGGACGAUGGGCGCAAGCCUGAUCCAGCCAUGCCGCGUGGGUGAAGAAGGCCUUCGGGUUGUGAAGCCCUUUUGUUAGGAAAGAAAAACAGCAGGUUAAUACCCCGCUGUUAUGACGGUACCCGAAGAAUAAGCACCGGCUAACUUCGUG